CCCAGAGAAGGAGCAGGUACCACUUCCGCCCAGGUGGAGUGGGAGAAUGCGGAGCUGAGGGGCCAGCUCCUGGGGGUGACACGGGAGAGGGACUCAGCCCUUCGCAAGAGCCAGGGCCUGCAGAGCAAGCUGGAGAGCCUGGAGCAAGUGCUGAAGAGGAAUCUGGAGCAAAUGGUGUUUGAGGCUUCCUCAUCUCAGAUCUUCUCUAGAAAUGGCCAAGUGGGGGCUCUGGCCUUGACUCGGAUCUUGUGUGUCAGCACCUUCGGGAGGUGGCCCAGCGGCGGCAGCAGCUGGAGGUGGAGCAUGAACAGGCUCGGCUCAGCCUACGGGAGAAGCAGGAGGAGGUCCGGAGGCUGCAGCAGGUGGGGCGGCAGUGAGGGAAGCUGGCAGGCUGCUGAACACCAGCGUUGCCACUC
Long non-coding RNA from Nomascus leucogenys (northern white-cheeked gibbon), 416 nucleotides. RefSeq lists it as uncharacterized. NCBI's taxonomy places the organism in Eukaryota, Metazoa, Chordata, Mammalia, Primates, Hylobatidae. The transcript has 3 exons. The record is from RefSeq and is a predicted model, not a curated record.